CACUUUCUCAGCUUCAAUCCUAGUGUGUUUCAGAGCAGCAACCUACCCUUUGAUGGGCAAAGAGCAAACGAUAAAUCCUGGAGACUUAAAUAAACCUGCACGACCAACUCUUGAAAUGCUGUAGAAGCUAUCUGCAUGCCCAGCUGGAGCAUGAGCUCCUGGACAUUGAGAAACAGACAAAAAUAAAUCCAACCAACCAACCAACACUACAUUGAACACCUUUUUUGUUUUACUUCUACAGGCCUCAAGCUUCUAAACAAUGCCAACAACAGACAGUAUUAGGGACUGCAUGCACAUGGACUGAAGGCAGGCUUUAAAGAACUACAAAAAUCACAUUUCUGCUGUAUAAAUGGAAAAUAAAGACAAAGAGACUCACCGAAAUUCACAGAAGUCCAUGGAAGAGCACCAUGUUGCACCAAGCUCUAAAAGCAAGCUCUGCUUGUCUCCUGCAAUUGCCUGGCUUUAGAAACAGUUUUAUCUGAGCAGCCCGUCUGGACAAAGAGGAUUUGAUUGCAUUUGUGAUUCAAAGAUUGUCUUGUCAGCAGAAGGAACACGUGGCUGUGGCACUCCGUAAGUAGCCGAUACUGAAAACAUUGCUUGCUGAGGCCAUUACAGGGUUCGUUUAACAAUACGGCUAAUAAGCACCCACCACAAAGGCUGGGAACGUGUUCCAUGCAUCAUCUUUCUGGACAAACCAGAGAGAAGGCAAGCAUAUGCUUGAAUGCACGGCACCUAUAGUUUGCAGUUAAAUCAUUAGGCUGAAGUUCAUAAGAUCUGCAACAAUCCUGGCUCUGCCAUAACAUUUAUUUUAUAGAAGUAGACAAGUAGCAUUAAUGCUCUG
This 841-nucleotide long non-coding RNA is filed under the name Anas platyrhynchos platyrhynchos (common mallard). RNAcentral's name for it is "lncRNA (ENSAPLG00000020591.1)". Lineage: Eukaryota; Metazoa; Chordata; Aves; Anseriformes; Anatidae. The record is from RNAcentral.